Euroglyphus maynei is the source of this 46-nucleotide non-coding RNA. NCBI's taxonomy places the organism in Eukaryota, Metazoa, Arthropoda, Arachnida, Sarcoptiformes, Pyroglyphidae. The record is from Rfam.
AAAACGGUCCUUUUCAGGACCACAUUUCAAUUACGAAAUAAGAGCC